GUAUCGAGAAGUACAGCAGAGUACUCGGCUACGAACCGAGCGGUCGGAGGUUCGAAUCCUCCCGGAUGCACCA
This 73-nucleotide transfer RNA is filed under the name Enterobacter cloacae. Its description in RNAcentral is "tRNA-Arg". It matches the Rfam family "tRNA", at positions 18 to 71 of the family's 71-position model. From Rfam's summary of the family: Transfer RNA (tRNA) molecules are approximately 80 nucleotides in length. Lineage: Bacteria; Pseudomonadati; Pseudomonadota; Gammaproteobacteria; Enterobacterales; Enterobacteriaceae. The record is from RNAcentral.